AACGCAGGUGGUUUGGUAAGUCAGGGGUGAAAGUCCACAGCUUAACUGUGGCACUGCCUUUGAUACUACCUUUCUUGAGUGCAUGAGGGGGAAGCGGAAUUCCGAGUGUAGAGGUGAAAUUCGUAGAUAUUCGGAGGAACACCGGUGGCGAAGGCGGCUUCCUGGCAUGUAACUGACACUCAUGUUCGAAAGCGUGGGGAGCAAACAGGAUUAGAUACCCUGGUAGUCCACGCCCUAGACGAUGGGCACUAGGUGUGGGAGGUAUCGACCCCUUCCGUGCCGCAGCUAACGCAUUAAGUGCCCCGCCUGGGGAGUACGGCCGCAAGGUUGAA
RNAcentral lists this ribosomal RNA (332 nucleotides) under uncultured bacterium. Its description in RNAcentral is "bacterial SSU rRNA". It matches the Rfam family "Bacterial small subunit ribosomal RNA", at positions 568 to 898 of the family's 1533-position model. The record is from RNAcentral.